This is a non-coding RNA of Cinara cedri, 3939 nucleotides long. The record is from the annotation of a GenBank genome assembly. Lineage: Eukaryota; Metazoa; Arthropoda; Insecta; Hemiptera; Aphididae.
CACGGUUGCAUAUACAGAACCGCAUCGGGUUUUCUCGUCAUCGUCGGGAUGCUGCGCACACCCGCUCAAGGUUUUCUUCUCGGCGUGUACGGCCGUGCAGCCGCGCCACAUUGCGGCGUGCGGCUCGUAACACGUUAACGUAACGCUCGUAACGGCAAACGUCAUGAUGACAUGCGAUUUUAGAUUCCGCACGAAGCGAGAGGCGUAACAUCGGUUUUACCGAGGUGGUUUUUUUUUUUUUUUUUUUUUUCCUUGUGCGUUCGUGUCCGCCAACAACUUUUCUAUACCUGCAGAAACACCGCCCCGUCCGAAAACUUUCGUGCAGCGUUCGGGAUCCGUAUUCGGAGAGCGGUUGUUUUUUUUUAAUUUUUUCGCUCUGCGGUUCACUCGAUAAACGGGGAACGGCCUGGCGAUCGCUCGUUGAUAAAACGUCCGCGGCCGCGCGAGGAAAAACCGGACCGCCUCGGCAACGCCGCUCGGAAUCGUUUUUCGCGGGCUCGCCGCCGCGUAUGUUCAAUCGCUCGACGACGGUACGGUUAUACCGGCCACCGCUGCGUCCCGGCUUUCCGCCAAACACCGGCGCCCAUCGGUUAGGUUAGUAGAUAUCGGAUUCUAGAUUUGUUUUUUUUUUUUUUUUUUUUUUUCCCCCCGCGACGUCAUCGUUAUUCUAUCGGCAAACCAUCGUGCCUACGUCAGGAAACGCGGAAAUAGAGAGAGAGAGAUAGAGAGGAAUAGCGAGAGAGCGACGGUAGUAAUGUAUUCGUAAAAUAUUCGUCCGUUCAAGGUCCGUUCCGCGCACGAAACAAUGGGUCUCGCCGAUAUAUUUCGUUCUGUCGCGUGUACCUACCCAUCGCCAACCGCACUAAACACCUACCGUACUGAAUGUUGUACUGUUGCGUAUCGCUAAAAAAAAAAAAAUACAGAAUACAAUUCUAAACGAAAAUACACCUACAGCGUCGGCGAACGGUGCCGCGACAGAAAUAGUAUUUUUUUUUUUUUUAUUUUUUUUUUUCCGUACUCGGCUCCGGGCACGUCCCUCGGAGAGCGGAACGGUCGCGAUCCUGUUGCCCGCGUCACGACCGACGAGAAAAUGUAUUCGAAUACGAGCGUACUUCUUGCGGCCGGUAUAGGCGAGAAAAAAACGUACGGCCGCCGGACGUUUUUUUUUUUUUUUUUUUUUUUUUUUUUUCUGUCGAUCGCCCCCGUUUUCGAAAAUUGUAUUUCCGCCGCGGAAGCGAUUCACGGCGGUAUCGGGCAAUCGAGAGUAGGAACCGAGAAAACCGUGUCCCGUACCUUAUUUGCCGCCCGCCCCGAAGAGGUACGCGAAGUCUCUCAAAAGGUUUUGGUUUUCUUUAUGAGCGACGGAACGGAUUUCGGGGGAGGGCACGAACGCCCCUCUCCUCGGACACUUGCACAGCCUUGUCCGGGUAUUACGCACGUGUAGGUAGGUUUAUACAUUCGUUACAAUAACGGACCGUUAAAAAUAAAUACGCCGAGAAUUCAAAAUGAUUUUCUGUAUGAUUUUUGUGUUUUUUUUUUUGUUCUUUUUUUCUUUUAAAUACUAAUAUAACAAAUCGGGUUAAUAGAUUUAGGACAAAAUAUCGUAAAAUAAUAAUAAUAAUAAUAAUAAUAAUAAUAAGUAAUAAGUAAUAAGUAAUAAGUAAUAAUAAUCGUAAUAAUAAUAAUAAUAAUAAUAAUGUAUGUAUAGCGAAUUCCGAAAUAUAGAAUAACUCGAUUUACAAGUACGUUAUAAUAUACAUAUUAUACAUACAUAUAUAAAAUUAAUUAUACGAUAAUGUACGUGUAUAAUAAUAUUUUAGUCUACUAGAUUAUUACAUAAUAUUGUAUAUUACUUAAAGAAAAAAAAAAAAAAUUUACAUAAACUUAUAAUGUAUUUAAAUCGAAAUAUACAAAUUGUCAUUACAAUAAUAUUAAUACAUACGUAUGUAUGUAUACAUACGCGCGUAUAUAAUAAUAAUAAUAAUAAUAAAAUAAUGUACACGGCGUUAUAAUACGCGUGUAUUAUAGAAAAGAAAAAAAAAAAAAAAAAAAAAAACAGUAUUGAUAAGCCCGUACAAUACGCGAUCGUACGCGUCGUGCGGACAACGCGAUAUCAUGUGUGGGCGUGCGCGCGAAAACGGAUCCGGGAGCGUUUCGGGGAGGGGGCGAGGGGGUGGGGGGUGGCGGGGGUUCGGGGGAUCGAAGGGGAGGGAGGGGCGGAAGGCGGCAAUUCGAACGGUAACAGCUUAUCCGACGGGCAGUGCCGAAUUCGGUCGCGUUCCGACCGAGAGCCGCGGCGCCCGCGGAUUGUUUUCUUGUGCGUUUCGCGAUACGCGCGCCCGUCACGGGGGAAAAGGGAUUGGGAAUAUCACCACCGUUACCGGCCCCCCCCCCCAAACACCGCCGCCAAAGUCCGUCUCGGAUCCGCCGCCGCCACCGCCGGAGUUGCGGACAAAAAAUAGCGUAUAAUAAUAUGUACAAAAUGGUUUGGUUUGGUUUGGUUUUUUUUUUUUUUUUUUUUAAUUAUCGUUCGAUAUUUACGGAAUCUAAUGUAUAGUAAUAUUACCUAUUAUUAUUAUUAUUAUUAUUAUUAUUAUUAUUUUUUUAUUUAUUUUUUUUUUUUUUUUUCGUAAAACUUUCGGAUGCGUUUUGUUUUUUUAUAUAUAUGUACACAAAUAAGUACUCAUGUUAGGCGCAUGUAAUAUACGCUGCGUAAAUACAAAGCGUUUUCGGAUGAGAGGUGGGAAACGGGUUUAUGUUAUGAAAAAUAAAAUAGAUUUUGGCACCAAUAAAUAUCCAUAGUAAUUAAUAUAUUGUAUAGUAGUCUAAACGCUAAAAAGUCAAAAAAAAAAAAAAACCGAUAAUAAUAGUAAUAAUAAUAAUGAACUAAUGCAACAAAAAGAAAAAAAUUAUAAUAAUAAUAAUAAUAAUAAUAAUAAUAUAGUCGUACAUAACCAAGAACACAAAAUAACGUAAAAAUAAAAAAAAAAAAAAAUACAAUAGAAUAAGGCGCAAAAAAGACGUACAUUAUUACGUUAUACCGUAUCGGUCCGCGUAAAUAUUCCGCACGAAUAACCGAUACUACAUUUUUAUUACAACAACCAUCGUGACUUUGGGCUGUAUGGCGUAUUGUCAUAACGAAAAGAAAAAAAAAAAAAUCAAACAUUAAAUUGCGUAUGGUUAUUGCGAUUUAUUGCAAUAUAUUAUGUAUAGUUUCAGUAAAUAGGGAGAAAAAAAAAAAAACGAACAAAACUCGACAACAAAAAAGUCUGCGUUGAAAAGCGUUAUUAUUUAUUUAUUUAUUUUUUUCAUUAUCGGUAUUCGAUUUAAUCUGUUUCGAAUACGUCGCGUUAAAAAUAAAAAGUUAAAAAAAACCUUAAUUGCGUUCAGUGCGUAAGACACCCGCCCAUAUUUGCGCGACGAAACGAAACGAAAAGUUUAGAAAACACGGAAAACACCUACCGCAGUAUAUUUUUUAAACAUAAGUUACAUUAAAUGCAGAUAAUAUUAUUAAUAAUACUCGUAUGUAUAGGAAAUUUUUUAUCGUAAUAUUUACACGUAUCAUAUAUAAUAAUAUUAAAACAAUAGAGAGAGAGAGAGAGAGAGAGAGAAAAAAACACUAAAACUCGCGUGUACGAAGACGGAGAUCGACAUGGUUUUUUUUUUUUUAUCUAGACGAAAAAAAAACACCGGUUACGUUUUGAGAAACGAUUCAUAUAUAUUUAUGUACAAGUACAGUAUUAAGAAUAAUACAAAAAAUUUAAUUUUUUUUUUUUUUUUGUUUCAAUCGCAAUGUAUUUUACGCACAGUCCGUCUGUGUUGUAUAGAAGCUAUGAGCAGAAAAAAAAAUAAAUUACAACUAAACGUACCUAACAAUAUCGCGGUAUAUUAUUAUUAUUUGUAUUCCUUUUUUUUUUUUUUUUUUUUUUUUUUUUUACG